Molecule: long non-coding RNA, 11383 nt
Organism: Cygnus olor (mute swan)
Lineage: Eukaryota; Metazoa; Chordata; Aves; Anseriformes; Anatidae
Exons: 3
Source: RefSeq, a predicted model, not a curated record
GGCAGGCCGCCUUCCUCCUUCUCCUCCUCCUCCUCUUCUUCUUCCUCUUCUUCUUCCUCCUCCUUCUCCUUCUUCUCCUUCUCCUGCCCGCGGGCAGCCCGGCUCUCGCACGCCGCCCCCCGGCAGCUCGCCGCCCCCCUCAGCGGAACGGCCACGAAAGCCGUCGCGGGGUUUUUUGUUUAUAUUUUUUAUUCUCCCCUCCUUAUUUUUAUUUUUAUUUUUUUAUUUUUUUCCCGAAUACAAACUGCCUACGUGUCGGUUUGGGGACUUUUGAUGCUGGUGGUGAUUUGUUGGAGUAUGACACACAGACAUGAGAGCCCCUGUGUAAGGCCUUUGGCCUCAUAAAAGCACAUAGUGUCCCUGUAAGUGCCCCCCAAGGGCUAUAUAAACACCUCUUUCCUUAUUUUUUGCCUCUAGGAGUUAGUAAAUGCUUUCCAGGUACAUCCCCUAGCCAAGGUGGCCAGCACCAUCACCCACAUGGCAGCACGAAAGGUCAGAGAAAGAGGACAUCCACUUCUCAGAAUAUCCAGCUGCUUUCUGUGAAGGGGUAAAUCACAGCUCAGUGAUUGAAUUACCGGUGGCACUGGAAUGGUUUUCUGCCAGCACAAAACAGAGGAGCCAAUUGCAUCAGAGGUGCCAAAAGGUCCGUUAACAUUAUUGCUGUCUAUUAUUUCCAAGUUUCUGAAUGCUUAAUUCACUACCAGUUCCUGGCUCUCACCAACUUUAAGCAAGAAUGAUGUGUCCCAUUGCCUUAAACUGUUGCAAAUUCUCCCCUGUAUCUCACAUUACACCUGUUGUUCUGGAUGUAUAAUUAUUCCUGACCAUGCUUGUCAAAAACAAAGUGAUGCUCUUAAAGGUUUGGAGAUCAGCAAAGAAACGUCCUGAUUUCCUGUGUUCCUGUUUAUAAAGUUAUUUAAGUGGAAACGCAUGUAUUAUGAACAUUAAAAAAAAUGAACAUGGUGUUUGGAUUCAAAUAACACAGCAUUGCUGUAAUGUAUACUGUCAACUCUGUUACCUACAGUAAUGGGGGAUAGUGGAUUUAUCUGGAUAAACCAAAAAACAGAGUUAACAAAGCAUUUAUGAAGGAAGCUGUAAGAAUCCAUAUUGAGAAUAAUAAAGGAAGAAAAAAAAACGAAACAGGUUGGUGGCACUGUUGACUGUCAAUGCAAAAAUCCCUUAAGAAAUACUGACCAGGAAUAAGACAUCCAUAUGGCACACCAACACAGGAGUACUGCUACAUUGCCUCCAGAGCCGAACCCUCCUAUGCAGAACCAGACCUGUGAGCCUCUCUACCAAAGGCAUGGCUAAUCCACAACUCAAUGAGAUUUAAUAAUACUUAGAAAACAAAACAUCAACUAUCUGCCAUCAUUUCUGGUACAGCAAUUACAAAAUUGCAGUCACUGGAUUUCUUCUACUCUACUGAUUUGUUUAUUUGCUGACAUUCAUGCUCAUCCCUGCUGAACUUAAAUGCCUGUACGAUCAUCAAACAAGGUAUGAUAAACAGCAAAGUAAAGGUAUGGCCUUAAUCUUCAUCAUGUAACUAGUAAUUUGGUACUCUCUCAAGUCAGGAAUGGACAACUUUCACCACACACGAGAGUCUCUGAGCAAGAAUGGGAAAGGCUCCCUUUGGCAGGACUAGAUGACAGCUCUGGUACGAGCUAUAUUUUCUGAGAUACUGGGCUUUAUGUAGUUUUUGCUGUACAAAACCCAGGCAAAGUAUUAACAUCCAACCCUUUGGUCUUUUCAGUUCAUACUUAAUGACCUCCUGAAUUCCUCAGAGAUCCAGGUGGUAUCCACACACAGACUAAAUCUGCAAAGAGCUCUCCUCUUGCUCUGUUGGCUUUGCUUUCACUUUUGACAACUGAAAAUAUAAUGAGUCGGAUAAUUGUCAGAUGACUACCUUGGAACAGCCAUGAUGAGGCUGAAUCUAUGACUCACAAAAAGCUUUCCAGGUCCCCAUAAAGCACAGAAGAGAUAACCCACUUUCAUGUUACAGUCAAACCACAAGCUAAUCCAAUUAAAGAGUGUACAUAGGAAUGCAGAAUACGCCACCUUAGCAAACCACCGGCCCAUCAGGGCUCAUAUCUUGCUUCUUGCAGAGUUUAGUGCUUAACACUUCAGUGGAAAAUAAAUAUAAGGCAUAAAAUCUCUUGCUAUUACUGCUGUGCUCUCCGUGACAGAGCAAAUAGUCUUGCUGACCCCUGCAGGGAGCAAAUAGUGUCCCGAGGCAUAAAAGCUGCUCGCCCUUUUCUUCAUUUAUAUAGCAGUGCACUUCAUUACCACACAGAGAAUAACCAAGCCUCUUUAAAAAGCUGUCCUUUGAAUUACAGCGAUGGUGGUUGCUUGUCUCAGUGAAUUCAAAAAACUCAUCACACUCUGGGUGCUUGGCAAAUAAGCGUUUGUUUAAAGAGAUAGGACAGAAAGAAAAGCAAAGCUCUGAGCACUCCGACACUUGCCAAAGCUGUGACUUGGAGCCACUCUGAGAUUUCGUGGGUAUUUUUUAACCACCUGGAAGACAGUAUUUGUAAUGUCAUGUUGAUUUGGACAGCCAGCCCUGGAAAACGAAGGCUUCUGUUUUGUUGCAGCAAUACAGCACGAUCAGCGCGCUGAGCACCACUGCACGCUUCCCGUCAUUUACUGCCAGCUAUCCACGCCCCCUGUGGGACUGGUGGCACCUGCAAGGAGGCCAGCAGGACGGAUUUAUCCAGACCUAAACCAAUGACACCCAUUAGCCAGGGAAGAUUCCUUCCAGACUGGCAUCACAGUAGUGACCUGGAGACACAAAAUACAGGUUGCCAAAGUGGUGGGACUAAGCAGUAGGACUAAUCCUUAUAUUCCCCCAGUAAUUUCUCCAAAGUCACCACUGUUUAAAAAUAAAAGGGGAAAUGGAUUUUGAACUUAAUGAAGGGGUGUGUUGCUGUCUGAAUGAACCAGACAGGAAUUGUUCACCAACCUAUUCCUUCUCAGAGAUACUAAAUUUCCCUGUUUAAACACUGAGCACUUGUAUGAAGACUUUCAGCACAUUUUAAAAGGCAAGUUAUACAGCUACUCUUCAUUUUUGGGGUAGGGAUUCCACCUCACUAUACCCACUCACACUGGCAAAACUAGCAUCGAUGCAAAAUCAGAACUAAACAGAAAUGCUACUCAAGGAGAAAAAGAAGCAGAAAGAUAAAACCGCAACCAAACAGGUCCGAAGCACUUAAAAUUAAGAUGCUGUAGGCUGGCUCCCAACCCGAUAUACAUCAGCAGGACGCAAUGCAAGUCGGUUUACUCAGGGAUCCGGUCUUGGGCACAGUCAGGUCACCGCAGGGCUUGGUCCUGAUGCAAUUUACAAGUAAAUAAAGACACGAACCGCUAGAGGGAGGCAAAAGACUUGCAGUAUGGCAUCUGCUCUAGCCUCCCGGGCAAAGCUCCCCGGGGCUUUCCUUGUCACUGGAUUCAAAUACAAAUACAUCAGGGAGUGAAAUGACAGUGAGUAUUUUCAGCAGCAUUUCCAAGAACUCCUUUUACUAAGGAACGUGCGUGUUACAGAGGGAUGUUGCCCUCCAGGUCUGUAGGAAUGAGGGACAGUGUACUUAGGGGAGAGGAAGGACAAAGGACAUUUGUGUUGGUGCUCUACAAGGAUGGCUAAAAAGAAACAAGAUUGUAAUGGAAACCAACAUUGUUAGCAGAUGCACAUAACUUUGGGGAUUCACAGGAAUGAAGAGCAUCUCCUCCAGUUUCAGUCCUUCUUUUUCAUCCAACUUGGUUCUAUUGAUGGCUAUUCAGUUAUGGCUACUGAAGGUCUGAUGCAUCUCAGUUCCUUUAGGGUGGACCACAGAGGUGGAAGAAUUAGCAGACCAAAUGAAAUUAUGUUCCUGUCCGUUCGAGGUCUCCCAGGAACAGGAAAAACUCAAGUGAAAAUCAGGUGCUCACACAGAACAGCAUCAGCCUGUCUUACAACUCUCUCCCUACUCUUGCUGCAGAAAUGUUAGUGCUUCUGCCUUGGAACACAACUUUAAAGCGACAAUCACAACAGUGGAGAUGAGGCUACAAAGAUGUGAAAGGUUAUUGAAAAAGGCAACAGAUUGAGCACAUCAAAGCGCUGAAUGACAGCAAGCUGCUUUUGAUAGCAUCUCUUUCACCAUCACAUUUGCUGUGGAUUGGGGCUUCAAAGGGAAAUUUUCAUGAGACCCUCUGGUGUCUGCACAAAAAGCCGUGACUGCAAAGGGAAGAAGUGACGCCUUCCAUGAGAGACCCAAGGGUGUUGCUGAACCACAUACACAAAACACCACGGGUUAGAAAACUCAGUGCUCCCACACCUUCUCUGGAGUCUUCCUAGCUGCAAUCCUGCAGAAUCGGUCGCUAUUGCACAUGUACCCUUUCGUCAGCCCCAAGUACUUCCAAAUGUUUUCAUGCAGAGCACAUCUCAUCGAUGUGUUUAAGGGUUGACCCCAGAUCCUGCUCAUCAUGACUCAAUGUUUUCUUUCCUUGACCAUUUUCUGGUUCUCCUACUUCUUCUUAACAGCUGCAGUGCCUUUUAUUAUUAUUAUUUCAUUAAAAAGAGGGAUUUUUUCCUGCAACCUUUGUCUUCAGAGCAGCUGAUGUGCAGAGGGCAACAUGUGUUUAGAAACUUGACCUCUAAGGAACAAUGGAGAUUUUUGCUUAGGAAUGCUAUUCAGACCAUUGUCCUACUUCUCUCAGGUCCCCAGUGUUUCUUCUUCCCCUCAGAAAUGUGCUCUGUUAAUGCCUAGCAAGUCCCUCUCCACUGGUAUGGCUCUCCCCAGACUGGGAGGCAGAAAGGAAAUGGGGACAAUCUGGAUUUCAUUUCAGACAAGUUGAAGACAAUGAAAAUAUUUAAUUUCAGUGGUCUGCAGAGCAGGCCCUGCGGUCGCUAAAUGAGCUUUUCCUUGUUCCCAGCUGCUUUCCUGGAAAAUCAGCCCCAUUGCCUACAGAGAGAGAAAAGUAAAAAGAUGCCCCAGCAACAAAAUGCCCAACAGUGGCUGGCCUGAAGCCAGCCAGCAGAGACCCAGCGUCCCAGCAGAAAGGAACAGGGCUUUGAGCAUUAGCGACACCCAGGAGCAGCCAGGCCUGUGCACUAAGCCCCCACUCUUCAUAAUAACUAAUUGCAGCUGCCUUUUUUGCCUUUUUCUCCCCAGUCUGUGUAGAUGCUGGAGGAAACGAGGCAUUGGUAUGUGCAUGGAGUCAGUCACAAAUAAACAGGCCUGCAAACGCCGAAUCUCUAUUCUUGAAGACCUCAAAAAACUCCACUCAAGCUCCCUAUUCCCCCAGCAAAGAACAAACAGAGAAAUCCAACCCAACGUGUGUCACCUCAAUCCAGCAGAAUGCUGCCAUCUCCAGCUCCCAGCACUCAUAAGAUAAUUUGAUUUUUUUUUUUUGUGGCAUGGUGCUCUACUUCAACUGUGGUGUUUAAGGAAAAAAAAAAGUAAAUUUAAAUCUUAGAAAAAUGCUGUUGAGUCAGAUGUUCCCAGUGGGACUGGCACCAGUUCCAGGAUGAUCUCACUCUGCCCAAAGUAUCUUUUUUUCAGGAGCUCUCACUUGUCUUCCCCUCACAGUGAAGAAUCUGACUUACAGGUUAUAAUCAUGACCACUGAAGUCCCACAACAGUCCCAGGAAGGGUCGUUUGGAUGAGACCUUUAUUGUAUGUGGCCCCUGUCUCCACCUGCUCAAGGAUUCUUGUCAUUCAUUCUCAGCAAAUGAAUAGCCCAAGCAGAAGGAACUACUUCCCCUCCUCUUCUCAUUGCUUUCAGCUCUCAACCCUUUUAACCUGUUUGUUGUUUUUUUUUUAGGGUUUCUGUUUGUUAUUUUUUUUGUUCUUUCUCCCCCCCAGUUAUCUGAGAAAGCACAAGGAGCCAUCGCAGCGUGAUUCACCCUAAUCACAGAGCAUUACUGAAGAGAUGCUAUGAAACAGCGUGAAACUGGCUGUAGGAUGAUUCCAACGAGAUUCUUGCACCUGCACUGUCCAUCCACGCAGCAAUACAAGUUGUUUCCACCGGUGUCCCUGGAAGAACUCUGUCACACCAGCUGGGAUUGUACUCAGCGGGUGGCAGCUCUCCAAGAACAGAAAGCACAGCAGGAACUUCGCAAGGUGUUACUUCUGCAGGGAGAGGAAUUUGGGCUGGGAGAGAACCAUAAAACUGUGCCGUUAACUAUUCCAGCAGGAUAUGUUAUCUUCCCUUCUGGUCCUGCAGAAUUAUGUACCACGAGGGAGCUGCCAGCCUUCGUCUCCGUGAUAAAUGGUUUAAACUCCAUGUACAGCCACAGAACUGUUCAUUAUACGCUUUUGCAGAGCUAGAAUUUGUCUGUGGGCCCCAUGACCAAGUCAAAUGAUGAUGUCCCAUGUGGAAACCAUACUGAAAUCACUGGAAUAACUUACUGUAUCAGAUCUGCACUUUGUCAAACACUAGGAUGCUCUGAGAUUAAACAUGUUAUUGGGAAGAAUUAGCUAAUGCUGGUGAUAGCUUAGACAGCAUCUCAAAAGAGCAUAAAGAAAUAAAAUCACCCUUAACUUGAAACUCUAUUAUAUUCUCCUUUAUUUCUUAAAUGUUAGGAGAGUUACACAACAAUGAUAAAUGGCAGAAGUUAAGUAACAGUAAUAAUGGAAAUUAAUUCUGAGGCAAUAAAGAAUGAAACAAAUUCUAUGGACCGAGUCUUCCUCUCAGUCUUGAGAGGAAGCAUUGUGCACACAAAGCAGAAGGGAAGGGGCUCUAUUUCUACCCUGUUAUGCCAGUGGCCUUCUGUAUCUCUUCUGGCAAACCAGUAUCACAUUUUGUGACUGUUUCCUCACUUCUACUCCCCCCUGCUUCUCAGUCAUAGGCUCUUUAUCUUCACCGAGUACCAGAAAUACAAAAUUGCACUGGAGCUUCCUCUAUUUGUAUCAGCCAAAUAAACUCAAAGGGCUCAUGUGCAGCAGCACUUUGUAUCACAAACAUGGUUUAGAACAAAUCUGCUGAGUGCCCCCACUUAGCACUCGUUGGUUUGUGUUAUGAACCAGCCUUAAAUGCACGAGCUGCGUUUAUUUCAAAGGAAAUUAAACUGAAAAAGCAUUUUCCAGCUACAGUGUCUUCAGUCCAGAGGAUGAGACUGGCUGAAGUCAAAAGCAGCCUUCCCCACCUGAAACGCACAGGGUGCGGGUGUCAGGUUCUCCGAACUGCUGCUCUACUCUCAGGCCUUUUCCUACGGGGCUGCUGUACAUAGAGCCUGACACAGUGACUGGGAUCACAGUGGAGGGAACACCACUUGCUUCCCUCGGUGAAGUCACGUAUGGCGCUGCUGCGGGCACCCUGGGCACUGCACCUACCUGUCCCACCUGUAGGGUAUCCCAUGGCACUUGGAAGUUUCCCAUUUACAAGAACAUUCCCCCUUUAAACCACCACUUUGAAUUACUAAGAGGCAGGUGUAUAAUUAAUUUUACCUUAAAAAAAAUCAUGGUUUACAUAAUCCCUAUUCUUUAAGCAUUUGUACAGUGACUGUUCAGCUACACAAAUGCAUGAGCUUCCAUUCCAAUUAAACUCCCUAACUCUUCAAUUAAAACCUCAUCGGCUCAUGGAAAGCAAUAUUUUUCCCCAGACUCUCCAGAAUGGGCUCUCCACACUUCUGUUCAUUUUUCCAAGUCACUGGUCCCAUGCAGGUGCUUUACUCUUUCAUCUGUACUCAUUUUCCUUCCUCCAGAUAAGCAUCCCUUCUAUUUACGUCCAAUUAAGAUCAUGGCAAUGUCAUCUUCGCUAAGCUAAGCCUACAAUUUGCAUACAUGAACUCUCUCCUGCAAAUUACCAUACAAUGAUAAAAGAGGGAAAGAAUAUUAUUAUAGGUUAUAGCUUUCUUACAGUGAUUAAAAACCAUAUUUUGUUGCUUAUGAACAAAGUUCAUAGAAGACAAAUUGAGUAGCAAAGCCAAAACAAACACGAACGCUGGUGUGAAAAAAACACCUGCACUGCAGUUUUCCUAUCUAGAUAUAGGAAAUCAUAAGAAAACCAUAACAAUUUAACUGCUCCAAAUACAAAAACACAAGGCUCAAAAAAUAUCAAUUCCCAAAACUGAAAUAAAACCUAAAAUAAAGGACCAUUUUCUUUAUGAAGAAAGCUUUUUGAAAUUUCUUCCUUCAAAGAACUGAGUCAGUCUGAGCCCAGCUGGCAUUUAGCACAACCCCUUCUAAGGUCACUGCUGUACACCCUUGCCUUGUUCCACAACAAGGGCUUACAGUGCCUAAAAUUCAAAAACCCUACAAGAGACUUUCGACUCUCUGCCUUCACUGAGCCAGAGAAGUAAUUGGUAUUAAAAAAAAAAAGGAAGAAAAAGAAAGAAAUAUUAGGGGUUAACAAAGCCUGCCAAGAGCCUGCAAAGCGACAGGGAAAGAUGUUCAUCAAGAUGCAACAUUCCACGAGUACAGUGGAACACUACUUUGAAUAACUCAGGUAAAACACCUUUAUCAUUCUCAAAGGACUAUACAAAUAUUUAAACGUUGUUUCUCCAUGAGAGGCACGUUAACGUCCCAUAUUAGAGAGAGAAAGGUUGAGAUGAGAGAUGGGAGAGAGAAAACCAACCCGUCUACAAUCACACUGCGUCUCCGGCAGAGUGGGAACAGAAAAGAGCCCUGUCCCUAGUCUAGUGGUUAAUUGCAAGUCCAGCCUUCUAAUUUUCAUGUGCAAGAUCACAAAAUCAUUUAGGUUGCAGAGCACCUCCAGGAUCAUCAAGUUCAACCAUCAGCCUGACCUACCGAGUCCCAUCACCAAAACGUGUCCCUUAGUGCAUGCAGGGCUUCCUUGCACAAGAGUUUACCCAAGACUGCUGUGCUGCUCCAAGAUAAAAGUCAAAUAAAAUGCCAAAUGCACACUGAUGGGGAGGCUUCCUCUACCUUACAAGCUCUUCACUUCUAAGGCAGAACCAUCCUUUACAGCUGAUUUCUUCUCUCAGUGACCUCCCCUGUGUACAGCCUCCUUUAGAAGGUUCUGACACUAGAUCAGCCACACAAACUUCAUGCCAAUGCCAACCACUGGCAGAAUACAAAGUGCACAUGUAAAAAAAACAACUCUGCAGUUGAGCGUUCGGUUUUCUCUGUCUUUUUUUUCAGCAGUUUGAAAACACACAAGUGGUUAUCCAGCAGUCAUGCCUGGAUCUCUUUCAGCCAGAAUUUUAACUUAGUAAAUUACACGCUAGAUGUGGCAGGCUGCUUUUGAAAACCACUGUUAUGAUCCUCAGCCCAAUCACACAACAUGUGCCUCUCCUGAAGAAAAAAUGGCCGUAAUCUCAGAUUGGUCUCCUAUUUUGGUCAGUCUAGGAUUAUCCUGGCACAUACGACCAUUACCCAAAUUCGAGCUUUUGAUCAAAGCAAGGAUGAACUCAUAAAGCCCUUCCUAGUGCUUGUUUCAGAGAACAUAUUAAUUUCUCUCCCCUUAAGCUAUUUUGCAGCCUAGAAGUCAAAUAAAAUAUUUAAAUGCCUCCGGAGUUUAUGAGUAACCCCACUUUGAGCUGGUGUCUCUGUGAGCUAUGCUAAGCAAUUUGAACUGGCAAGUAAAGAUCUCCAACCUUUGACUCACAGACAUGAAAGGGAGGGAGAAAGACAUUAAUGGCAAUUACUUGAGACUGUGCCACCCUGAUGGAAUAACCAGCGCAGCCUUACGCACCUGCAGGAAUGCAGCUUGGGUUUCAGUCAGGUCCAGCCAAAGGCAACCUCAGAAUGGCUGUCUGCUCCGGGGGAAGGGCAGGCAAACAGGGACCUGGGCCGACUCCGUGCCCUCCUCGCCACCAGUCGUGGGUCUGCCCACCCUGAGCACCUCCAUACAGGUGUGUCUUAAGUGAAGGGAGAGGCAGAACUCACAGAAAUUGUCUAGAGAACAGCAGGAGGGCUGUGCAAACUGUAAGAAGACAAGGAACUGCACAGCUGUAGCACAGGCUCACCUCCACUUGUACUAUUUUCAUAUUAUUAAGAUUCUGUAAUAUUUGAAGGCAUUAAAAGUAAGGGUCCCCAAUAUAUUUGCCCUUUAAAAUAGUCCUCACUAGCAGAGAGAAGUGGGAACGUCUAUAAAGAUUGACACGGUCCAUCUCCCACCCCUGUAAAGUGUGUGCACAGAAGUACUCACAUCCUAGCUUCUGAAUAGACAUUAUAGCCCUUCUGCUAUGUAGGAAGCCUCGCCCACACUUUUGGCAGAGCUAGGGGGCUAAGCUCAGCUUCAGUGUAAGUAGCUGCAACUCGGCAGCACCACACUCCUUUGCUGGUGAUGAGGUAGCUGUGAUCCAAGGAAAGACCUCAGUGUUCCCCAUCCCCAGGGAGAAAUCCUUGCUGGGAUACCAGCUGCAAGCAGAGCACUGCUUCAAGUCCAAAACCACACCUCACCCUCACAGCAGCUCCACACAAGCUCCUCUUCACACUUCCACCACUCGCAACGUCCUGGAGACCCCACCCCAGUUCCAUUCACUCACCGAGCCCACACGCAAUCCCUUCCUCUGCCAUUCCCUUCAGACUACCAAAGAGGAGGCUGGCAAUCCUUGGCCACCUACACCCUUACACAGGAACACGAGCCACUGCCAUCAUGCCCACAAAGGCAGGAAACACCUUAUUUUCAUCUGUGCCCCAGUUUGGGAACGGUGCUGCAGCAUAUCCCAAGCAGUCAGAGUAGCUGUGUAGAGUGGUUAAUAUUUUCUGGUGUUCCUGAUGCUUUACCUUGCUUGGAUUUUAACACUAAAUUAUUCACUUGCAAAUUUUCGGACAUCCCACCUGCUCACAUGUGGAGCUCCCCUUUGAGCCCACAGCCCCACUAUCUCAGGCAUCUGCUCCCCAAAACGAUGGCAAAACUCACAAGAAUGGACUCUUAUCCCUCCUCAGCUCCCCUUUGGGGACUGUGGCCCAUGAACGUGCCUGACGGGCUAUGGUGGAAUGUGUUGUUACUCUUGUUCCUCACGGUCGGCUCGUGGGAAGCCGUUCUUUUUAUCGGUCUGUCUACCUGUGCUGUGAUCAUACCUUCGGUUUGAUGUGCACACAAGCUCUGUGUGGGCAGGAUCCACCCCAGGACUGCAGGAAAAUCACACUCCAGAUUCCACACAGGAGUUUAGCCCUCUCCAUAUCAUUUCUGGAUCUGAUCUAACUGACACCGGCAUUACAGCACUGUAACUCCAUCAGCUUCAGCUGAAAGUGUCUGCUCGUGCCAAAUUUGAUUUGGUUUGCACUGAAACAAAAACAAAUCAACAAACAAGCUUAGAGUGAGAAAUACAAAAUUAGGCUUCUAGAGCUCUUUGGAGCUGAUCCCAACACUACCUUGGUGGCAAGAAACUAGAUCUGUGUGUCUCCCUUUCCCCUGUAAAAUGAGGAUAUUGACAUUUCCCCAUUCGUAAAUUGAGGUAUUUACAUUGUCGUUUGUGAAGGGCUGAAUUAGUCUCUCUUUAUUUC